UAACCUGCCCAAGAGAUCGGGAUAACACCUGGAAACAGAUGCUAAUACCGGAUAACAACAGAUGAUGCCUAUCAACUGUUUAAAAGAUGGUUCUGCUAUCACUCUUGGAUGGACCUGCGGUGCAUUAGCUAGUUGGUGGGGUAACGGCCUACCAAGGCGAUGAUGCAUAGCCGAGUUGAGAGACUGAUCGGCCACAUUGGGACUGAGACACGGCCCAAACUCCUACGGGAGGCAGCAGCA
This 240-nucleotide ribosomal RNA is filed under the name uncultured Lactobacillus sp. RNAcentral's name for it is "partial 16S ribosomal RNA". It matches the Rfam family "Bacterial small subunit ribosomal RNA", at positions 122 to 355 of the family's 1533-position model. The record is from RNAcentral. Lineage: Bacteria; Bacillati; Bacillota; Bacilli; Lactobacillales; Lactobacillaceae.